AUACAUUUGAAAUAACAGCAACUAUAUUAAUUACAAACAUUUCACUAAUAUGAGGGGUACAAUUUAUGGAAAUUGACUGCCAUUGGGUACUCAAGUGAAAAAAGGUUGGAAACCACUGAUGUAGAGCAACAAUUCUUUUUUUUCAGAUCCUCAGAGAGUUCUUUGCCAUGAGGUGCCAUGUUGAACUUCCAGUGACCAGUAUGAG
Molecule: non-coding RNA, 205 nt
Organism: Pelobates cultripes (western spadefoot toad)
Lineage: Eukaryota; Metazoa; Chordata; Amphibia; Anura; Pelobatidae
Source: the annotation of a GenBank genome assembly